Molecule: small RNA, 3284 nt
Filed under: Rattus norvegicus (Norway rat)
Lineage: Eukaryota; Metazoa; Chordata; Mammalia; Rodentia; Muridae
Description: uncharacterized LOC108349234
Source: RNAcentral
ACAUAAAAUACCCAAGAAAAAUAAAAUUUAAAAAUGUAAAUACAAAAAAAAGUGAUGGAAUUCAAACAGAAAAACACGUUGUCACGUUGACAGGUCUAGAGUCACCUAGGAGGCACACUGUGGGGAAUGCCUUAUUGAAGGUGUUUCUGUGAAGACUUCACUGUGGAUGUGGACAUCUCCAUCCCAUGGGCUGGAGCUCUAGACUGAGUACAAAGAUGCAGCAAGCUCAGAGCUGGCGCUCAUCUCUUGUUCCUCUUUUCUUCCUGUUGCCAUGAUGCUGUUCACCCUCAAGUUGGGAGCCCCAAGCCCUCUCCCCUUUAGGCUGCCUUUAGCACAGAAGUGAAGAAGUAACUAACUCCUAUGACGUUAGCAAAGAGGUCAGGAAGUCUGACAGGCGGGAAGCCAGACGACGGAGCCUUUGUUCUGUUUCCUCUCUGGAGGCAGGGGCUCUGGUCCUGAGCCGGCCUUUGACCUGGCUCUGUAGCCCAGGCUAGGCUUAAGCAGCAAGGAGCACAUUUGUAGUCAGGGUCAAGACAAAGAGGCCCUAGAACAAGUCCUAGUUCUACAUAACUUACAGAAGAGGAGGAGACCCAGGCCUCCAUGGGCACCCAGUUUUCCCAGCAAGGACGGCACUCAAGACAGGAAAGAUGCCUUCGAGCAAAGCUCUGACACUUGUUUUGUGCAUUCUGGUGGAGAUGGGGCCUGGGUCUUCUUCUCUUUAAACCCAGGAUUCAUGACUGCCUGGCCAACCAAUCGUGGAGGAAGUGAGGCACUGCCAUAUUUCAGGCCCACAGUUCUAGGAGUCAGUAGUUUCCAUUCGUUUCUUCCUGGUGUCACUCUUAGAACCUGAACAGGGUUAAUUUUCCAGGACACAAUUUCUCUGUAUAGCCCAGGCUGUCCUGAAACUCAAUCUGCAGAUCAGGCUGGCCUAGACACACACACACACACACACACACACACAUACACACACACACACACACACAAAUAAUAAAAAAUAAAAUAACCAUUAAGAUAAAAUGAGGGCCCUAGGACAAAGUCCUAGUCCCAAGUCAGUCCCACCAAUUUACAUUUCCUUCAAAGGAGCCCAGCAUUCCUCUUAUGUCUGUAUUAUGCAGCUCAAUCCCUCACACUUCCUCUUCAAGAUUGCUGCAAAUAUCCCCCUAGCCAAUGACUGGCAACCACACCCGCUCAUGGCCCUUUCCUGCUGACAGCCCAUCCGGUGCCUUUAAGAGAAUGUUAGCACUCCUGAGCAGUGAGUCCAGAGUUCCUUAUGGUUCCACAGAGAGACUGCUGCUCCCUUGGGUCACGUGUGUCCUCUUGCCUACCUUGACGACUCCCAAGUGCCGUCUCUCAUGCCCUUUCAUUACCUCCCAUCCAGGGGCUCAGCCUUGACUACCACUCUCCCCACCUCUUCUCAUUUGCACGGAUACUGAACGAACCUGCUACCACACGUAUCACAGCAGCCGUCACAGUUUGACUGCCCUUCCUGUCAUCUCAAGUCAACUGUAAGUCCCCAUAAGAUGGAGGCUGUGGUCUUUCCUCAUGUGCCCCUGGCACUAGGAAGACCUUAGACAUACAAUAGCUAUUUGUGAAAUAAAUGAAAAGGCAGAUGGGGAGCUGGUACGGGAGGUUGAAUCUGUGAGGGGGUGGGAAGGAAAACACAGAAAGCAGAGCAGGCAGGAGCCUCAGAAUGAAGAGCUGCACAUAAGCAAACGUCGUGUGUGUGCGGUGUGCGCACCAUAAUCCGCUGCAGGUCUGGCACGUGCUGACGCUCAAUAGACUCUAACUUUUUGUUACUGUGACCAAAGUACCAGACAGAAACAACUUAAAGGGGGUGUUUGCUUUAGCUCAGAGUUUUUGAGGGCUCAGUCCACCAUGAUGAGGGGAGAGUGGUGGAGCAGGGCAGCUCCAGCAUAACAGUCAGGAAGCAAAGGGAAAUGCUGGCCUUCAACGAGGUUCGCCUUUUUCCUCUUUGAUUUUCAGCAGGGCCUAAGCGCACGGGGAUGUACUAUAGGUGCACAGUCAGCAUGGUCUUCUAACCUUCCGCUCUGGAAAUGCCUCCACAGACACACUCAGGGAACAAGAAGAGGAGGUCCUCUCUCAACACCCGUAUUCAAGCUUGUGUUCCAAUCAGAAAAUGAACAUUUUGUGCUCAAAUUUAUAUGGAAAUGCAAGGAAUUCAAACUAGAUCGAGCAAUCCUUAAAAAGGAAGAAAGCUAGGUAACUCAUAUUUUGAAAUUUUAAAAGUUACUAUUAAUAUAAAAACUAUUAAAAGUCAGCCAGGUCUGGUAGCACAAGUCUAUAAUAGCAAAACUUGGGAAGCUAAGUCGGAGGACCAGGAGUCCAUGCUCAGUCUGGACUGCAUGGUAAAAAAAACAAUCCUGCCCCAAAGAGGUUAGCAAACAGACCAGAAAAACCCAAAACAAAACAAAAGAGGCCCUAACAAACCCACAGUAAUCAAAUGCUGUUGGAGAAACAAAAUGUCACUUCUCAGGUCUCAAGCUGUCAUGACCAGCCCGGUGACUGCAGAAAAGAACUGUCCUAGAUCCGUGACAUUUGUUUGGGUAGUAGAUCCUAUUAUGUCCUCAUCAGGUAAACAACAGUAAUUAUGUCAGAGGAUUAUGUGAGUCACCCUGAUCGGGGUAAUCAUUAUAGGAGCUGCAAGAACAACAAAACAAGUUGUUGAGGAAGGCAUCGAUGAACAUGCCAAACCAAAUGGGGACAACCCCACGCGGCCUCAAUCCUUCUCAAAGAACAGCAACUCAGUAAAGCUGGGAGCAGGAGUACGCCCUCUCCUCCAAGGAGCACUCCGACUGGUGGUCCAGGGCCAAGCACGAUCAAACCCAGGUCCUGUGUACCCCCACCCCGGCCACCCUAAGGCGCUAAGAUACUGAAAGGGCGGAAAGAAGAGUCUUUUCAACGAAUGGUGGAUGCUGGAGAGCCACACACAAAGGAGGGAGACCCCAAGCCAUACCUAAAAGUUAGCCUCCAGCUGAGCAGAGACCCAUAUGUAAGGUCCAAGUCCAAAGCUCUGUCGGGGCACUGGAGUAAACGCUCACGAGCUUGCAUUCCUUGGCUACAGCUCCAAAGCCCCAGUGACAGAGGAAAAGAUGGAUUAACUGGACUUUCUCAACAUUGAGUCCUUGGUGCUUCAAACCUAGACACUAAAUUUAAAAGACAACCUAAAGGAUGGGGGACUAUGUAAAGACUAUCUGCAAUCCAAUGACAAUAUGUUAACCCAACUGAAAAUUAGACCACUAGUAAAUAGAGAUUUUUUAAUGUUA